UACGUAGGGGGCAAGCGUUGUCCGGAUUUAUUGGGCGUAAAGAGCGUGUAGGCGGUUUGGAAGGUCCGCUGUGAAAACUCGAGGCUCAACCUCGAGACGCCGGUGGAAACCAUCAGGCUAGAGUCCGGAAGAGGAGAGUGGAAUUCCUGGUGUAGCGGUGAAAUGCGCAGAUAUCAGGAAGAACACCCGUGGCUAAGGCGGCUCUCUAGUACGGUACUGACGCUGAGACGCGAAAGCGUGGGGAGCGAACAGG
Molecule: ribosomal RNA, 253 nt
Filed under: uncultured bacterium
Lineage: Bacteria
Description: partial 16S ribosomal RNA
Rfam family: Bacterial small subunit ribosomal RNA
Source: RNAcentral